Molecule: long non-coding RNA, 3472 nt
Filed under: Sus scrofa (pig)
Lineage: Eukaryota; Metazoa; Chordata; Mammalia; Artiodactyla; Suidae
Description: lncRNA (ENSSSCG00040035947.1)
Source: RNAcentral
UCUUCUCUAAGGCCCCCUGAUAGUGCUAAGUCAGGAAUAAUGUGGUUGUGUUGGGGAGAAAGUGGGAGAGUGCUGUAAGCAAGUCACUCCUCUCUCGAGGAAUACCUCUACAUAUUUACAGGAAAGCUGGAUUUAUUUGUUCUGCUAGCUAAUUCAUUUAUCCACAAGGAUAAGCCUAAUUACAUAUAUUAAUAAAGGCCGAGUUUUGGGGAUGCAUAAACUGAGCCAAACUGGCACAUUUCAGCACUUUAAAGUAGAUACCAUUCUCAUCCCCAUUUUGUAAAUAGGAAUCCCAAGCUCAGAAAGAUUAAAUAAUUUGCCCACAGUCGCAUAGCCAAUAACUAACUGGUUGAUUCAGGGUACUAACAUUUCUAUUCCUAGCCCUCAUGCUCUACCAGCAUCCUCAAGCUAUUGGAUGUAGGCAUUAAAAUAAUUCUACUUGCUAUAAAAAUUGACCCUAAAAUGUGUAAAGUCUCAAAUUCAGUGAAAUGCUCAUUAAACAACAUAAGCAGCAUUCAUUCUCCUCCACACAGUGGCUCAGGCACCCAGGCUCUUCACAUCUUAUGUCCUUGCAUCCUCUGCAUCCAAAUAGCAGAAGGAUGAAAGCAGAAUGGAGGAAGUACACUUGUUCUUAAAAGCCUCGCUCUAGAAGUACCACAUGGUCAUGUCUGCCCACUAGGGAUGUUGACCGGGAAAUUCGAGUCUGGAUAAAGAACAGCUUGGUAUCAAUUUUAUACAAUGGAAGGGGACAAGCAGCUAACUGGCUCUCACACAUAUGUAAAACCUCUUUCGUUAUAAUAAUUUAAAGCAUUUAAAAUUAAUGCUUAAUUGGAGUACACAUCGUGGCUCAGCAGAAACGAAUCUGACUAGCCUCCAUGAGGACACAGGUUUGAUCCCUGGCUUCACCCAGUGGUUAAGGAUCUGGCAUUGCCAGCAGCUGUAGUGUAUGUAGGUCGCAGACAUGGCUUGCUUGGAUGCCUUGUUGCUGUGGCUGUGGUGUAGGCCAGUGGCUACAGCUCUGAUUCAACCUCUAGCCUGGGUAUCUCCAUGUGCCAUGAGUGUGGUCCUAAAAAAAAAAAAAAAAAAAAAAAGGCCUAAUUAACUUAAUUAGUUUAAUUCUUUAGGUAGAGUCUGAAAGUACUGAUGGUUUUUUAUGUUACUGCGAGGUCUGUGCACAGCAGGCUCGAUCCAGGGGCCUCUAUAUACUAGUUUCAAAGCCUGUCCAAUUCCAAAACUGCCCCAGGAUUUCUGUUCCUUCCUCAGUGUUAGGUUUUCCUGGCCUCUUCUGACUCUUGGAGUCCAGGUUCCUCUUUGCAUUACACGUAGACCUCUGUGUGAAGCUGGGCCAUUUCUUUGCUUAAUUUUAUUUUUUAUUGAAGUAUAGUUGAUUUACAAUGCCAUGUUAGUUUUAUAGGUCACUUUAUCAUUUUUUGACAGAAUGCAAAUACAAGGGUAAAGAAGGAUGAGAUUGUUUUCUAGUCAACCUUUACUGGAUGUUGUGCUCUCUAGCAAGUUCAGUACUUAUAAAUAAAUCCCUUAGGAAUUACAGGUUAGCAUGUCCUUUUUUAAAUGUUGGUUUAUUAUGGAGAAUUUCACUUGAGGUAGAUAAUUACAAUUAAGCCUUGGCACCUCAAAAUAAGAGAAUAUAUGUAUUCACACUCAAAGUACUUAAAGCAAAAAUAACUCAAAAAACAACACCAAUAUAAUUUAUCUGGGCUUGAAAGGAUUUUUUUAAUUCUUAAAAUUUUUCCCCUUGAUUGUUUCUUUUUCUUGUAUAUGCGAAAGCCCAAUUCUGUUCCUCUUCUUGUGUGUGCAUAAAGAUUCCUGAAACCACCAUUAUCAUGAGGAGUUUGUUUUCACCCUGAUACCUGGUGCUGCAGUGAUGUUCUAGGUUAAAGACUGGAUCUUCCCACUUCUCAGACUGCAUGACAUUUUGAUGACUAUGUUUGUCUACCAUCUAUGCUUUCCUGGUAGUUAAUUGCUAUGGUUGAACAAAUCUCUGGGGUCUCUGUAGAUAACUGUCUUAUAUCUCCAGUUCUCUACCCAUCAUUUAUAUCUACCCCCCAAAAAAAAACAGUCAUAAUGAGCAUAAUCUCACAUUUGGUGGUGAAACUCUCCUUUGGUAUUCUUGUCAUGUGCUUCGUGUCUCUUGGUUGAUUCCCAAAAGAUUGGGUCUGUCUGUACUAGUUGGUUCUUUGUCUUAGGCAUUCUCAACAUGUAUAAAGGAGAAUGAAUAUCAUCACUGACCUAAUUCUCCCAUGUAAACUGGAAAGCGAUCCCAUCCAAGUGUAUUAAGCUGUCCUGUGAUAUCUCAGAGAUGGGCUGACGUUCUGCAAUCAGUGAGUUGACAUAUUGAGCUCUAAGACAUGUUCAGGUUAUGCUGAUCCCAGACCCCCCUGCUCUCUUCAGAACAUAAUUCUUUCCUAUCUUUGGAAUGCAUGAGCUGAGAACUACUUUGAAUCCAAAUCACUGAGCUCCAAGAAAAUUUGAAGUUCUAUCACAGGUAGACGAUCCAUGUUUCUCUAGCUCUUCCAAUGAAAUGCCUCUGAGAGCAAAGGAAGAUCAUGCCCUUCUUCUAAGGGAUGGAGGGCAUAGCCUGAAACAGCAGCCACAGGAGAAAGAUUAUUUGAAGUCUUGAGUUUUAUCAUAGAAAUUCAUGAGACUUCAGCCUUCCAUUUACUACACACUUCUGUUUAUUUUACUAUAAAUCUUCUAGUAAAUGUAGAAGAUCAUUCUUCUCUAAAUUCCAUGCUAAUUCUUCAUCUUUAAAUAUCCUCUAAAAUACUGCCUACAUCCCCAAAGACAUAAGCCAGAAUCUGAAGGCCAGAUGUCCCAUACCUGGGGGUUAAACAACAGAGAUUUUCAGCUCAGUCCAGGGCAGUGGAGGAAAGCACAACUAAUUGGGCAGCAGAGGUAACAAACUGGCAAUCUCAUCUAGCACCAAAAAUCCAGCUGUCUGAGCUAACUCAUGAAUUUACCCUGAGUUCAGUUUAGCCUAGAGCCAAAAGAGUGAAGGUUUUUUCCCAUGCAUCCUCCAGAGAAAAGAUUUUUCUUUGCCUUCCUGGUUCUCAGGAAGUCUCAGAGAUUUUAAUCCAAAUCUCCUUACUUGAGUUUUACAGAUAUGUACUAUUUCACACUUAGUUUUUCUAUAAACCUGGAGGUGAAUAUGCUAAUAACCAUCUCAGUCGUAACCCCACAUUUCUGGGAGUUCCCAUCAUGGCGCAGUGGUUAACGUAUCCCACUAGGAACCAUGAGGUUGUGGGUAAGAUCUCUGGCCUUGCUCAGAGGGUCGAGGAUCCAGCGUUGCCGUGAGCUGUGGUGUAGGUUGCAGAUGCAGCUCGGAUCCCGCGUUGCUGUGGCUCUGGGCGUAGGCUAGUGGCUGUGGCUCCGAUUAGACCCCCUAGACUGGGAAUCUCCAUAUGCCGUGGGAGCAGCCCUAGGAAAGGCAAAAAGAUUAAAAAAAAAAAAAAAA